AUUGAACGCUGGCGGAAUGCUUUACACAUGCAAGUCGAACGGCAGCACGGACUUCGGUCUAGUGGCGAGUGGCGAACGGGUGAGUAACAUAUCGGAACGUAUCCCAUAAUGGGGGAUAACGAGUCGGAAGAUUCGCUAAUACCGCAUACGCGCUACGGGGGAAUGCUAGGGCUCUGCGGGUCUGGCGGUGAUGGAGCGGGCGAUAUCUGAUUAGCUAGUUGGUGAGGUAAAGGCUCACCAAGGCGACGAUCAGUAGCUGGUCUGAGAGGACGACCAGCCACACUGGAACUGAGACACGGUCCAGACUCCUACGGGAGGCAGCAGUGGGGAAUUUUGGACAAUGGGCGCAAGCCUGAUCCAGCCAUUCCGCGUGAGUGAAGAAGGCCUUCGGGUUGUAAAGCUCUUUCGCAAGGGAAGAAAACUUAUCCUCUAACAUAGGAUGAGGUUGACGGUACCUUGAUAAGAAGCACCGGCUAACUACGUGCCAGCCGCCGCCGUAA
RNAcentral lists this ribosomal RNA (500 nucleotides) under uncultured bacterium. RNAcentral's name for it is "partial 16S ribosomal RNA". It matches the Rfam family "Bacterial small subunit ribosomal RNA", at positions 30 to 523 of the family's 1533-position model. The record is from RNAcentral.